RNAcentral lists this ribosomal RNA (468 nucleotides) under uncultured bacterium. Its description in RNAcentral is "partial 16S ribosomal RNA". It matches the Rfam family "Bacterial small subunit ribosomal RNA", at positions 28 to 507 of the family's 1533-position model. The record is from RNAcentral.
GACGAACGCUGGCGGCGUGCUUAACACAUGCAAGUCGAACGGAAAGGCCCUGCUUUUGUGGGGUGCUCGAGUGGCGAACGGGUGAGUAACACGUGAGUAACCUGCCCUUGACUUUGGGAUAACUUCAGGGAACUGGGGCUAAUACCGCAUAGAAGCUCCUGCUGCGUGGUGGUGGUUGGAAAGUUUCGGCGGUUGGGGAUGGACUCGCGGCUUAUCAGCUUGUUGGUGGGGUAGUGGCUUACCAAGCCUGUGACGGGUAGCCGGCCUGAGAGGGUGACCGGCCACAUUGGGACUGAGAUACGGCACAGACGCCUACGGGAGGCAGCAGUGGGGAAUAUUGCACAAUGGGCGGAAGCCUGAUGCAGCAACGCCGCGUGCGGGAUGACGGCCUUCGGGUUGUAAACCGCUUUCGCCUGUGACGAAGCGUGAGUGACGGUAAUGGGUAAAGAAGCACCGGCUAACUACGUG